UCGGAAUAUUCUCCAAUACGUUCCUCUCCACUCAGAAUCUAAAAUCUUAAAAACACAGACAAUUCUAUACAAUUCUAUAGUUAAAAAUGACCUAAUUCAAUUUCCUAUUUGAGUUUUAAAACACAAUAACUAUUAUUAAUCUAAUAUGGCUCAGAACCAUUUUUCAUUGGCAUUGAUAGGUUGUGUACAGAUAUGAAAUAAUUCACCCUAUGUAUCCUGUACCUUC
Non-coding RNA from Cinara cedri, 226 nucleotides. The record is from the annotation of a GenBank genome assembly. Lineage: Eukaryota; Metazoa; Arthropoda; Insecta; Hemiptera; Aphididae.